RNAcentral lists this unclassified non-coding RNA (351 nucleotides) under soil metagenome. RNAcentral's name for it is "partial contains 5.8S ribosomal RNA, internal transcribed spacer 2, and large subunit ribosomal RNA". The stretch from base 1 to 120 matches the Rfam family "5.8S ribosomal RNA", at positions 35 to 154 of the family's 154-position model. The record is from RNAcentral.
GAUGAAGAACGUAGCGAAAUGCGAUAAGUAAUGUGAAUUGCAGAAUUCAGUGAAUCAUCGAAUCUUUGAACGCACAUUGCGCCCGCCAGUAUUCUGGCGGGCAUGCCUGUUCGAGCGUCAUUACAACCCUCAGGCCCCCGGGCCUGGCGUUGGGGAUCGGCGGAGCCCCCCGUGGGCACACGCCGUCCCCCAAAUGCAGUGGCGGUCCCGCCGCAGCUUCCAUCGCGUAGUAGCUAACACCUCGCGACUGGAGAGCGGCGCGGCCACGCCGUAAAACACCCAACUCUUCUGAAGUUGACCUCGAAUCAGGUAGGAAUACCCGCUGAACUUAAGCAUAUCAAAAGCGGAGGA